Molecule: transfer RNA, 76 nt
Filed under: Aquificota bacterium
Lineage: Bacteria; Pseudomonadati; Aquificota
Description: tRNA-Pro
Rfam family: tRNA
About the family: Transfer RNA (tRNA) molecules are approximately 80 nucleotides in length.
Source: RNAcentral
CGGGGCGUAGCUCAGGUGGUAGAGCGCUGGCUUCGGGAGCCAGAGGUCGGCGGUUCAAGUCCGCUCGCCCCGACCA